This 493-nucleotide ribosomal RNA is filed under the name uncultured bacterium. RNAcentral's name for it is "partial 16S ribosomal RNA". It matches the Rfam family "Bacterial small subunit ribosomal RNA", at positions 28 to 507 of the family's 1533-position model. The record is from RNAcentral.
GACGAACGCUGGCGGCGCGCCUAACACAUGCAAGUCGAACGGAGCUGAGAGAAGCUUGCUUUUCUUAGCUUAGUGGCGAACGGGUGAGUAACGCGUGAGUAACCUGCCCUGGAGUGGGGGACAACAGUUGGAAACGACUGCUAAUACCGCAUAAGCCCACGAUCCGGCAUCGGAUUGAGGGAAAAGGAUUUAUUCGCUUCAGGAUGGACUCGCGUCCAAUUAGCUAGUUGGUGAGGUAACGGCCCACCAAGGCGACGAUUGGUAGCCGGACUGAGAGGUUGAACGGCCACAUUGGGACUGAGACACGGCCCAGACUCCUACGGGAGGCAGCAGUGGGGGAUAUUGCACAAUGGGGGAAAGCCUGACGGAGCAACGCCGCGUGAGUGAUGAAGGUCUUCGGAUCGUAAAACUCUGUUAUUAGGGAAGAACAUAUGUGUAAGUAACUGUGCACAUCUUGACGGUACCUAAUCAGAAAGCCACGGCUAACUACGUG